This 141-nucleotide unclassified non-coding RNA is filed under the name uncultured Capnodiales. RNAcentral's name for it is "sequence contains ITS2". The record is from RNAcentral. Lineage: Eukaryota; Fungi; Ascomycota; Dothideomycetes; Capnodiales.
CACCAAUCAAGCCUGGCUUGGUAUUGGGCCACGGGGCAACCCGGGCCUCAAAAAGUCCGCCGGCUGGAAAGCUCUGAUCUCAGCGUUGUGGUUAAUCAAUUCGCGAGGAGAGGGGCGGUCCACGCCGUGAAAUCUAUCACA